GCGGACGUGGCGGAACCGGUAGACGCACGAGACUUAAAAAUCUUGCGGCCGCGAGGCCGUGCGGGUUCGAGUCCCGCCGUCCGCACCA
RNAcentral lists this transfer RNA (88 nucleotides) under Methylobacterium radiotolerans. Its description in RNAcentral is "tRNA-Leu". It matches the Rfam family "tRNA". From Rfam's summary of the family: Transfer RNA (tRNA) molecules are approximately 80 nucleotides in length. Their secondary structure includes four short double-helical elements and three loops (D, anti-codon, and T loops). Lineage: Bacteria; Pseudomonadati; Pseudomonadota; Alphaproteobacteria; Hyphomicrobiales; Methylobacteriaceae. The record is from RNAcentral.